AAGUGGUGUGGCCCUUUUAGAAAUUUUCUGGCAGGUUUUCUGGUUUUCACCAGAAAACAUCCCA
Small nuclear RNA from Colobus angolensis palliatus, 64 nucleotides. Its record names the gene U7. It matches the Rfam family "U7 small nuclear RNA". Rfam says of the family: Animal histone pre-mRNAs are spliced by a different mechanism than nuclear pre-mRNAs and self-splicing introns. This processing involves the U7 snRNP, which contains only one RNA species: U7. The record is from Ensembl. Lineage: Eukaryota; Metazoa; Chordata; Mammalia; Primates; Cercopithecidae.